This 559-nucleotide ribosomal RNA is filed under the name Cystobasidium laryngis. RNAcentral describes it as "eukaryotic LSU rRNA". The stretch from base 154 to 307 matches the Rfam family "5.8S ribosomal RNA". Lineage: Eukaryota; Fungi; Basidiomycota; Cystobasidiomycetes; Cystobasidiales; Cystobasidiaceae. The record is from RNAcentral.
ACCUGCGGAAGGAUCAUUAAUGAAUUUUAGGACUCUCUUUUUAGAGGUCCGACCCUUUCAUUUCCAUACACUGUGCACACACUUCUUUUCACACAUUUUAACACUAUAGUAUAAGAAUGUAACAGUCUCUUUAUUGAGCAUAAAUAAAAAUAAAACUUUCAGCAACGGAUCUCUUGGCUCUCGCAUCGAUGAAGAACGCAGCGAAUUGCGAUAAGUAAUGUGAAUUGCAGAAUUCAGUGAAUCAUCGAAUCUUUGAACGCACCUUGCACUCUUUGGUAUUCCGAAGAGUAUGUCUGUUUGAGUGUCAUGAAACUCUCAACCCCCCUAUUUUGUAAUGAGAUGGGCGUGGGCUUGGAUUAUGACUGUUGUCGGCGUAAUUGCCGGCUCAGUUGAAAUACACGAGCAACCCAUUUGAAAUAAACGGUUUGACUUGGCGUAAUAAUUAUUUCGCUAAGGACGUUUUCUUCAAAAGUAAGAGGUGCUUCUAAUGCGCUAUUAUAGCACUUUAAAUUUUAGACCUCAAAUCAGUCAGGACUACCCGCUGAACUUAAGCAUAUCA